This 468-nucleotide ribosomal RNA is filed under the name uncultured bacterium. Its description in RNAcentral is "partial 16S ribosomal RNA". It matches the Rfam family "Bacterial small subunit ribosomal RNA", at positions 28 to 507 of the family's 1533-position model. The record is from RNAcentral.
GACGAACGCUGGCGGCGUGCUUAACACAUGCAAGUCGAACGGAAAGGCCCUGCUUUUGUGGGGUGCUCGAGUGGCGAACGGGUGAGUAACACGUGAGUAACCUGCCCUUGACUUUGGGAUAACUUCAGGAAACUGGGGCUAAUACCGGAUAGGAGCUCCUGCUGCAUGGUGGGGGUUGGAAAGUUUCGGCGGUUGGGGAUGGACUCGCGGCUUAUCAGCUUGUUGGUGGGGUAGUGGCUUACCAAGGCUUUGACGGGUAGCCGGCCUGAGAGGGUGACCGGCCAAACUGGGACUGAGAUACGGCACAGACUCGUACGGGAGGCAGCGGUGGGGAAUAGUGCAUUAUGGGCGGAAGCCUGAUGCAGUAACGCCGCGUGCGGGAUGACGGCCUUCGGGUUGUAAACCGCUUUCGCCUGUGACGAAGCGUGAGUGACGGUAAUGGGUAAAGAAGCACCGGCUAACUACGUG